ACGCUCGACACCUACGGGAGGCAGCAGUGGGGAAUAUUGGGCAAUGGGCGCAAGCCUGACCCAGCAACGCCGCGUGAAGGAAGAAGGCCCUCGGGUUGUAAACUUCUUUUGUCAGGGACGAAGCAAGUGACGGUACCUGACGAAUAAGCCACGGCUAACUACGUGCCACAGCCGCGGUAAUCUGAGCGGGCUGGCAAGGC
RNAcentral lists this ribosomal RNA (200 nucleotides) under uncultured bacterium. Its description in RNAcentral is "partial 16S ribosomal RNA". It matches the Rfam family "Bacterial small subunit ribosomal RNA", at positions 328 to 539 of the family's 1533-position model. The record is from RNAcentral.